Molecule: long non-coding RNA, 304 nt
Organism: Odocoileus virginianus texanus
Lineage: Eukaryota; Metazoa; Chordata; Mammalia; Artiodactyla; Cervidae
Source: RefSeq, a predicted model, not a curated record
CUGGGUAGCAUUUUGCAGAACCCAACAGGAGGAUGAAUGAAACCUCUAAAUGAUUUUCAGUCCCCACGGAGAAGUCCCUUCUAGGGCUUUCCAUACUUCUCAGCAUCUGGGGAGCCAAAGCAUCCCUCAGCCAUGACCAGAGCUAAGAUGUGCAGUGCUUCCCAGGCUAGGAAAGGACCAGACCUCAGGCCCUGAAGCCUGGACGGCAGAGAGCUGGACCCACCUGCAAGCCUCCACACCCUCACCUCUGUGAGCAUGACCAGCCCGACGAGGAAGGAGGUGACAGACACCCCCAGAAUGAGGA